CUUCUCUGAUGGCGAAUGCCCCGGGAACAAGAAGUGCUGCAGCUGGGAAUGGACCAAGAAAUGCCUUGAUCCUGUUUAAGGGCUGACCUCGGAGGAGGUCUGGAUCCAUGGACAGUGACCACCAGAGAAGUCUGGCCAGAGCUCCUCUGCCCACCUCUGCUGCUCCAUCCAAGUCCACAUCCUGCCCUGCGUCAUCCAAACUUGACCCACUAAUGAGGGUCCCAACUCUCCUUCCAUUAACAAUAAAUGGACCAGCCUCCUGCA
Non-coding RNA from Anolis sagrei ordinatus, 264 nucleotides. Lineage: Eukaryota; Metazoa; Chordata; Lepidosauria; Squamata; Anolidae. The record is from RefSeq and is a predicted model, not a curated record.